GACGAACGCUGGCGGCGUGCCUAAUACAUGCCAGUCGAGCGGACUGAAUGGGAGCUUGCUCUUGUUCGGUCAGCGGCGGACGGGUGAGUAACACGUGGGCAACCUGCCCGCAAGACCGGGAUAACUCCGGGAAACCGGAGCUAAUACCGGAUAACACCGAAGACCGCAUGGUCUUUGGUUGAAAGGCGGCGCAAGCUGCCACUUGCGGAUGGGCCCGCGGCGCAUUAGCUAGUUGGUGAGGUAACGGCUCACCAAGGCGACGAUGCGUAGCCGGCCUGAGGGGGUGACCGGCCACACUGGGACUGAGACACGGCCCAGACUCCUACGGGAGGCAGCAGUAGGGAAUCUUCCGCAAUGGGCGAAAGCCUGACGGAGCGACGCCGCGUGAGCGAAGAAGGCCGUCGGGUCGUAAAGCUCUGUUGUGAGGGACGAAGGAGCGCCGUUUGAAGAAGGCGGCGCGGUGACGGUACCUCACGAGGAAGCCCCGGCUAACUACGUG
This 499-nucleotide ribosomal RNA is filed under the name uncultured bacterium. RNAcentral's name for it is "partial 16S ribosomal RNA". It matches the Rfam family "Bacterial small subunit ribosomal RNA", at positions 28 to 507 of the family's 1533-position model. The record is from RNAcentral.